AAAAGACUGAUACAAAUAAAUGGUUGAUGACUGGUGCUGGCACAAAACACUAAUUUUGAUUUGAGGUUUGUCUUGCCAAAAUAGCUCUGGCUUUGUUGGACUCUUGACUGCUUGUGUGGGUGUGUAUGUGUGUAUGAGUAUGGAUGAAAGUACAUGAAUGUUUUUUCUGAGCAUUUUCCUGUGUUUAAUGUCAAUAGGAAUCUUGAAAUAAUUUAAACCAUUGUGAGAAGGCCCAAUCUGUAGUGGGAGAUUUCCCUGAGGUACAGAUUUGUACUUCUUGUCACCUGUUAGCUUGGUAAGAGAUAAUUUAUACAUAUGGAAAUAAAAACAAUUUUCCAUGUACUAUUGGUAUUUUAAUUCUGAAACACUUGUUACAUUUGUCUCUUACUUGUUUAACCUUGUUGUAAGUUGAAGUAGCACAUGGUGCCUUAAAUUAGUGAUGGAAGUUUACUUGAAGGAAAUUAAUUUUGAGGCAGAAUUUGAACAAAGAGAACCAAUUGCUGUGUUUUUCUUAAAUAAUUUGGUCUAGGUAGGUCUAAGGAGAGGAGAGCAAUAGUUAUCUUUGUUAGUGAGACAAAACAUGAGGAGCCAUGAUGUAGAUUCAGUUAAGAGAGCAAAGACCACAGCAGGUGGAUAAAAGAGGAAACAAGGGACAGAAUUAAUUACUAUUAUUGAUUGUAUUUUGUAGUGCCUGGAGGGAUCAGCUGAGGCAAGGGUGCCACUGUGCUGCUGUGCAAAUGUGCAGUGUGUCACAAUUCCUGCCUCAAAGAGCAGAGGAAUGGUGAGAUGAGAGCAAGGGCCAGGGAAAUUAAAUAGUGUGCCCAGGAAGAUGUCUUGGAGUUCAUUCCAAUCUCCUCUGGAUUCACGGUGAAUUUGAAUAUGAAGAAUUGGAGGGCUAUGCCUUUGAAGAUGAGAGCAUAUAAUACAGACAUUAUAUGGGAGGAUACUGGAAGUCAGUGCACAGGUUCAAGGCCUCAUGGACAGAUGACUGAACAAAAAAAGAAAAGGGUAGGAAGGAAGAGAAAUGCUGCUGCUUUCAGUACUAUGGAGGAAAUAUAUAGUAUAUAA
This 1068-nucleotide long non-coding RNA is filed under the name Cyanistes caeruleus (blue tit). RNAcentral's name for it is "lncRNA (ENSCCEG00000020641.1)". The record is from RNAcentral. Lineage: Eukaryota; Metazoa; Chordata; Aves; Passeriformes; Paridae.